This is a long non-coding RNA of Balaenoptera ricei (Rice's whale), 805 nucleotides long. RefSeq lists it as uncharacterized. The record is from RefSeq and is a predicted model, not a curated record. Lineage: Eukaryota; Metazoa; Chordata; Mammalia; Artiodactyla; Balaenopteridae. The transcript has 3 exons.
GUUCGGUAUCGCUUUCUAAACGUAGGCUCGCGAGGUGUUUUGUUUGGAUUCAGGCGAGCACAGGGCUCCGCCCGCCCUCUCCAACGAGCCCCCUUGUCAGUAAACGCGGCCGCUCCCGUCCGGGUGUCAGCCCAGGAGAGAAAAGGCAGGUGCCCGGUGUGACAUCAGGGUUAUGACCCUCCCUCUCCUCUUCAGAACAGACCCAGCUCUCCCACGACCUCCUCCAAGAAGUCUUCCCUGAUUCUGGUCAGAGGGAUGAAGUGCUCCAAAGACCCCAAAGUGCUUUUCACCCUCUUACUCAUGGUGUUCAUCCGUGGGCAUGAAUCCUCUCUCUUGCUGAUUUGCAAGCUCCUUUGGGCCAGGAUGAUGUGCGGGCUGUACAGCGCCAAGCAUAUUUCCCCUUCGAUCUUGAGGCCGUGUGCAGAUUACAAGUACUGCACAGGGUGAGGAGACCCAGGACUCGGCAGAGAACUCCAUGCGUAGUCGGCGUGGACACAUCUUGUUCUGGGCUCCAGGUUCUCCAUCUGCACGAUGAAGACUCUGGAUAGAUGCCUUCCGAAGUCCUUCCAGGCAUGACCAUUUUAUAAAUAAAUAGAAGGCACUAAAUCCUUCAGAAAGUAAUUUCUCCCAUCUGCCAAGCUGGACUUCCCAGCCUCCAAAAUUCCAGCUCAACAUCCAUGUGUUCAUUGUUGGGUUUAGAGAUUGGGUGCUGGAGUUAGUGGAGACCUGGGUUGAAUCUUGGUCCUUAGUAAUGGCGGCUGCAGGCAAGUUACCUCCUCACUUCCGGGAAACUCCCUUUCCUUGU